GAUGAACGCUGGCGGCGUGCCUAAUACAUGCAAGUCGAACGGAGAUUGUAGCAAUACGGUCUCAGUGGCGAACGGGUGAGUAACGCGUUGGUGACCUGCCCCAAAGAGCGGGAUAACAGUUCGAAAGGACUGCUAAUACCGCAUGUGAUCUCCGGGAUCAGAAGCCUGGAGAUGGAAGGGAGAAAUCCGCUUUGGGAGGGACCUGCGUCCCAUCAGCUAGUUGGUAGGGUAACGGCCUACCAAGGCGAUGACGGGUAGGGGACCUGAGAGGGUGGCCCCCCACAAUGGAACUGAAACACGGUCCAUACACCUACGGGUGGCAGCAGUAGGGAAUAUUGGUUAAUGGGCGAAAGCCUGAACCAGCAACGCCGCGUGUGCGAUGAAGGCCUUCGGGUCGUAAAGCACUUUUUGAAGGGAUGAGGAAGGACAGUACCUUCAGAAUAAGUCUCGGCUAACUACGUGCCAGCAGCCGCGGUAAAACGUAGGAGACAAGCGUUAUCCGGAUUUACUGGGCGUAAAGCGCGUGCAGGCGGCACGGAAAGUUGGAUGUGAAAGCUCCCGGCUUAACUGGGAGAGGUCGUUCAAAACUACCGAGCUAGAGGAUGGGAGAGGGAAGUGGAAUUCCGGGUGUAGUGGUGAAAUGCGUAGAUAUCCGGAGGAACACCAGUGGCGAAAGCGGCUUCCUGGCCCAUAACUGACGCUCAGACGCGAAAGCUAGGGUAGCAAACGGGAUUAGAGACCCCGGUAGUCCUAGCCGUAAACGAUGUAGACUUGGCGUUGGCGGGUUUAAAUCCGUCGGUGCCGAAGCAAACGCGAUAAGUCUACCGCCUGGGGAGUACGGCCGCAAGGUUA
This 852-nucleotide ribosomal RNA is filed under the name uncultured bacterium. Its description in RNAcentral is "bacterial SSU rRNA". It matches the Rfam family "Bacterial small subunit ribosomal RNA", at positions 28 to 896 of the family's 1533-position model. The record is from RNAcentral.